GGGGUCGUGGGGUAGCCUGGUCUAUCCUGCCGGCUUCGGGAGCCGGUGACUUGGGUUCAAAUCCCAGCGACCCCA
RNAcentral lists this transfer RNA (75 nucleotides) under Hadesarchaea archaeon. Its description in RNAcentral is "tRNA-Pro". It matches the Rfam family "tRNA". Rfam says of the family: Transfer RNA (tRNA) molecules are approximately 80 nucleotides in length. Lineage: Archaea; Methanobacteriati; Hadarchaeota (SeqCode); Hadarchaeia (SeqCode). The record is from RNAcentral. RNAcentral also lists the same sequence under 1 other name.